GGAUAAACAAGUUCGGAAGACUUCUUAGAGGGACAAGCGGUGUUCAGCCGCAUGAAGCUGAGCAAUAACAGGUCUGUGAUGCCCUUAGAUGUCCAGGGCUGCACGCGCGCUACACUGGAGGAAUCAGCGUGCUGUAACCAUUGCCGAAAGGUAUUGGUAACCCCUUGAAAAUCCUCCGUGAUCGGGAUCGGGAAUUGCAAUUAUUUCCCUUGAACGAGGAAUUCCUAGUAAGUGUGAGUCAUCAGCUCACGUUGAUUACGUCCCUGCCCUUUGUACACACCGCCCGUCGCUGCCCGGGACUGAGCCGUUUCGAGAAAAGCGGGGACUGCUGUUUCGAGACCUUUCGGGGUGGAGAUUCUUUGGUGGAAACCGCCUUAAUCGCAGUGGCUUGAACCGGGCAAAAGUCGUAACAAGGUUUCCGUAGGUGAACCUGCGGAAGGAUCAUUAUCGAGCGAAUCCAAAACGAACGAAAAAGUCUCCCAACGUGCAUACCUUCCAUUUGCAUGUUGUUGUGAGCCACAUGGAAACUCGUACACACGUGGUGGCAGCCGUCUGCUGUGCUUUUUUUAGGCAGACAAUGGCUUACGAGUGGCCGUGUGCUUGUUGAACAACGGUGACCAAUUUGGCGUCUACGCCGUAUCUAGCUUCUGCCUGGACCGUCAGUUGCGAUGAAAGAUGCGGAGAAAGUUCCUUUGUUUUGGCUGCUAAUCAUCAUUGAUGAGCAGCAGCUUAAGGCAGAGUCGAGCAGACUUAAUGAGCCACGCUAGGUGGCCGCCAAAACCCAAAACACAACCGGUCUAUUUGACAUUGUUAUUUCAUUGUAUGUGUUGAAAAUGUACAAAUCUUGGCGGUGGAUCACUCGGUUCGUGGAUCGAUGAAGAACGCAGCCAGCUGCGAUAAAUAGUGCGAAUUGCAGACACAUUGAGCACUAAGAAUUCGAACGCACAUUGCGCUAUCGGGUUCAUUCCCGAUGGCACGUCUGGCUGAGGGUCGAAUUACGGUGAACUGUCUUCACGGUUUUUCUGGACUGUGAAGCAUUCGGCAAGCAAUUGCUGUUGUGUUGUUGGUGAUUCUAUCAUGGACAAUAUGACGAGCGGUUCCUUGCUUAGUGAUGACAAAAGAAGACGUCAACACCGAAUCUACUAUACUACUAAUACUAGUAUAUAGGUGAGGUGCUUUUGGUGGUCACAAAAGUGACAAGUAUGCCAUUUCAUAGGGGCAACAACCAGCAUACGUGAUAAGUUGGCUGGUUGAUGAAACGGCAACGGAAUGACGGACGUCUAUGUGAUCAAAAAUGAUACUAUUUGACCUCAGCUCAGUCGUGAUUACCCGCUGAAUUUAAGCAUAUAAUUA
RNAcentral lists this small RNA (1353 nucleotides) under Anisakis pegreffii. RNAcentral's name for it is "contains 18S rRNA, ITS1, 5.8S rRNA, ITS2 and 28S rRNA". The stretch from base 1 to 447 matches the Rfam family "Eukaryotic small subunit ribosomal RNA", at positions 1387 to 1831 of the family's 1831-position model. Lineage: Eukaryota; Metazoa; Nematoda; Chromadorea; Rhabditida; Anisakidae. The record is from RNAcentral.